UGUAUCUGAAGCCUGACGAGGAUGAGAACCUCCGGGGGCAAGAGGUUCGACCCGAGCGCAGCGAGAGAACGUUGCUUCAGCAACGGCCCGCAGGGCGAGCCACGCAGUGGCGAGUCAUCCUCUAUCACCGGCAG
This 134-nucleotide small RNA is filed under the name Salmonella enterica. RNAcentral's name for it is "RtT sRNA". It matches the Rfam family "RtT RNA". Rfam says of the family: This family represents a bacterial cis-regulatory element known as RtT RNA. The exact function of RtT is unknown although it is thought that it may be involved in changing the cellular response in relation to amino acid starvation. Lineage: Bacteria; Pseudomonadati; Pseudomonadota; Gammaproteobacteria; Enterobacterales; Enterobacteriaceae. The record is from RNAcentral. RNAcentral also lists the same sequence under 3 other names.